RNAcentral lists this transfer RNA (69 nucleotides) under Apopellia endiviifolia. Its description in RNAcentral is "tRNA-Arg". It matches the Rfam family "tRNA". From Rfam's summary of the family: Transfer RNA (tRNA) molecules are approximately 80 nucleotides in length. Their secondary structure includes four short double-helical elements and three loops (D, anti-codon, and T loops). Lineage: Eukaryota; Viridiplantae; Streptophyta; Jungermanniopsida; Pelliales; Pelliaceae. The record is from RNAcentral.
GCAUUCUUAGCUCAGUUGGAUAGAGCAACAACCUGUUGAAGGUCACAGGUUCAAAUCCUGUAGAAUGCG